AGAUGUUUUAGGGAGACAGGUUAAUAAAGGUGUUUUAGGGAGACAGGUUAAUAAAGGUGUUUUAGGGAGACAGGUUAAUAAAGGUGUUUUAGGGAGACCGGUUAAUAAAGGUGUUUUAGGGAGACAGGUUAAUAAAGGUGUCAUAAGGGGGUUUUUAGUCUUUUAGCUUCACUAAUUUCUGUCUUUUUGAUUGUAGGUUGAAUUUUUUUCAUUUUAUCUUUGUUGAAAGGAAACCACUUCAGACUUUCAUUCAGUUUGAUCUCAAAAUAAAUGGAUCCAUAGCAGAAGGAAUCUUGUGAUUCAAGGCACAGUUGUUAUAUUUGAAAUCCAGUAUUGAGAUUGAAACCAUUUACCUGUAGGGAAGUGUUAAAUUGAUUCAUCAAAUUUCAAAAAACCCAACUGAUCAUUGAUCAGUUUGUUUCCAUUGUAAUCCUUUGUGAUCCCUACUUUAGCCUGUGUUUAAUGUGUAUCUCCAUCUUUUUAGUUAAAAUGAUUCUCCGCAAUGUGGAUCCACACGAAUGUGAUGGAACAGUUCCCCCAGAUGCUGUCAAAACAUUCAUCCUAGUUAAAGAGCUUCUCGACAAUGUGGAUCCACACGUAUGUGGUAAGUGUUCUUUUAGUUUAUACAUUUGUAGAAAAACGAAUCCUGCUUGAACAGAACAAAAGAAAAACGUACAAUGUAAAAAUACAUUUUCAUGUUUCUCGAAUGAUAAAAAGAUCAUGCACUUUCUGUACUGUCAGUAUGCAACCUGAACAUUGUACCUAGGGGAGGACUUUUUAAAAUAUUUGAAUAGCUUGACAUGGAAUGUGUGAAUCACGCCCCACACAAAUAACAAACAAUCAACGGCGGCAGCUGAUCGCACUAAAGCCACGUUUCCACCAAAAGUACCCAGAACUUUUAGUCCCAGGAACUACUUUUCAAGGAUCUAAAAGGUUCCUUCAGCUCAUUGUUGUCUGCGUUUCCACCGCGGUCUAAAGUCCCGCGAAGAUUAGGCAAAUUAGCCCACUGACGUAUGAAAAAGCGAAGUUGUCGUCAGUCCAUCUGUCCUAUGAUUUCUUCUGUAACCCCAUACUACCACCGAAGUAGCCUACAUGAUUUUCUAAUAACCGGGACAGCCCUGGAGGGGUUUAUUCCCCUUAUAUACAACCGGUUAUUGUAUUACUUCCUUAGCUCUCUCGUUUUGAACGAUCCCGUCGCCCAGCAAUGAUCUAAGGAAAAAAUUUUUAAUUCCCAGUUUGCAUAACUCUAUAAAUAAAACCCUCCUUUCCCCAGUAUAGAUCAGACAAUGCAUCAAGACAUGUUGUACAGACUCCAGGACUCCACAGUUCUCACAAUUGCCAUCUCUGUGUUUCCCCACUAGCACCAACCCACUUGCUAAACCGCAAUGCCCCAGCCUUAGACUUGUCAAUUUGAUUUCAUCUUUCCGAGGCAUAUUCACUCUAUUACCAGGUUUAACAGAUGGUUGGACGUUGUAUAGCUUUCUCCCUCUGCUGUCUGCAUCCCAUUACAUUCAUUUGGCAGACGCUUUUAUCCAAAGCGACGUACAAAAGUGCAUUUUCAUGAUCGUAGACAACUGCUGAACACGGGUUCAGUAAGGUACAAUUACUUAUUUUGUACAGCUAUUUCUAGCCGAGAACAAUGAACACUAUCCUGGUCUAACAUCUGCAAAGCCAAACUAGGCAGAAGAAUAAGCUACAGUAUUAGGACGAAUACAAUUUACCAAGAAGUGCAGGGAUGGGCAACAUGUAACAAGUGACAGGAAAAAGGUUUUUUUUUUUUUUUUUUUUUUUAAAUAUAUACAGCGUGGUGGUGGUUAUUCUAGGUAUAGUCUGAAGAGAUGAGUCUUCAGGCCACGGCGGAAGAUGGAUAGUGAGGGGGAGGUUCGAAGAGGGACGAGGAGUUCGUUCCACCACUGGGGAGCUAGGGUGGAGAAGCUCUGUGAUCCCUUUGGGCGGGUGGGAGGGGUUGCAAGACACCCUGCUGCCGCAGAGCGGAGUGGUCGAGCAGGCACAUAGAAUUCAGUCAUGUCCUGCAAGUAGAUGGGGGCUGUCCUGUCGGCGGCAGUGUAGACAAGGGUCAGGGCUUUGAAUCGGAUCUUGGCAGCGACCGGUAGCCAGUGAAGUGAUCGCAGCAGAGGAGUGACGUGGGAGAAUUUGGGGAGGUUGUAGAUGAGUCGGGCAGCGGCAUUCUGAAUUAUCUGUAGUGGCUGUAUGGCACAAGCUGGCAGGUUUGCAAGGAGAGAGUUGCAGUAAUCAAGGCGAGAGGUCACCGUAGCCUGGACGAGCAGCUGGGUGGAGUGCGUCGUCAGGUAUGGUCGAAUCCACCUGAUGUUGUAUAGGAGGAAUCUGCAGGACCGUGAUAUUGCCUUGAUGUGCUCCUUGAGGUCCAGUUGGUCAUCCAGGACCACCCCCAAGCUCUUGGCAGAGUGGGAGGCAGUCACUGUGGUGCCAUCAACCGUGAUUGAGAGUUCACGAAGCAAGGAGGUCUUGUACGGGAAGAAGAGCAGCUCAGUUUUGUUGAGGUUGAGCUUCAGAUGGUGGCUGGCCAUCCAGGUGGAGAUGUCAGCCAGGCAGGAAGAGAUCUUAUCAUUGAUCUGUGUGGCCGAGGGGGGGAAGGAAAAGAAUAGUUGUGUGUCAUCUGCAUAACAAUGAUAGGAAAAACCAUGUGAAUUAAUGACUGAACCAAGAGAUCUGGUGUAUACGGAGAACAGCAGAGGACCCAGUACACAUCCCUGCGGCACUCCCGUAACAAGUGGAUGAGAGGCAGAGGCAGACCCCUUCCAGGUGACCUGGUACGUCCUAUCUGCAAGAUAGGAAGCGAACCAAGACAGGGCAGUCCUGGCAAUUCCCAUCCCAGCCAAGGUGGAGAGGAGUAUUUUAUGGUUGACCGUGUCAAAAGCUGCAGACAGGUCAAGAAGGAUCAGGACAGAGGAAAGGUGUGAGGCUCUUGCAGUGGCAAGUGCCUCCGUCACAGCUAGUAGUGCAGUCUCUGUUGAGUGCCCGGAUCGGAAGCCAGGCUGGUGAGGGUCUAGCAGGUUGUUCUGAUGGAGAAAAGAGGUUAAUUGUUAAAGAACUGCUCGUUCAAGGGUUUUGGACAGAAAGGGUAGAAGGGAUACGGGUCGAUAAUUUGUUACAUCGGAGGGGUCUAAGGUGGGUUUUUUGAGUAGUGGGGUAGCACGAGCCAUCUUAAAAACAGAGGGAACAUGACCAGAGGAGAGAGAGGAAUUAACAAUGGAAGACAGAUAGGGAAGGAGCUCGCUGGAGAUGGAUUGGAGAACUUUAGAUGGGAUGGGGUCAAGUGGACAGGUGGUUGCGCGAUGAGAGGUGAUGAGUUGUAAUACAUCGGAGUCCUCCAGCAUUUCAAAGGAGGUCAGUGUGGCUGUGGGUUUGUCCUGGGGGGUUGGGGGCUCACUGGAUGGGUGAAGGAGUUCCGGAUUGUAGCCACCUUUCCUUCAAAGGCGGCCAGAAAGUCAUCUGCGGAGAGGGAAGAGGGAGGUGGGGGUGGAGGAGGAAUGAGGAGGGAAGAGAAGGUGGAGAAUAGUUUACGUGGAUUAGAGACACAUGCGCUGAUCUUGGACUGGAAAAAAGAGGCUUUUGCAGACGUGAGGGCAGAUGUAAAAGUCGCCAGCAGGGUAUGGUAUGCGGUCAGGUCAUCAGAGGAUCGGGAUUUUCUCCACUUCCUCUCUGCAGCCCGCAGUGAUGUUCUGCUGGAGCGUAGUGACUCGGUCAGCCAUGGGCAGGGGGGUGAGGAGCGUGCUGGUUUGGAGACAAGAGGACAAAGUGAGUCGAGGGACUGAGAGAGGCAGGAGUUGAGGGUGGAGGUGGCAAGAUCAACUGGCAGGUUAGAGAAAGACGCAGGAGGGGGAAGUGUAGACAGAGCAGUGGAGAUGAGGGAGGAUUGUGACAGAGUAGGGAGAUUUCUCCUGAAAGUUACUGUGGGUGAGCUAUUGGAUGAAUUGAGGGGGAGAAAAUAGGAGAGGGAGAAAGAAAGAAAUAAGUGGUCCGAGACAUGGAGGGGAGUCACUGAAAGUUGGGGAAUGGAGCAGCUUCUGGUGAAUACAAGGUCUAGUUGGUUACCAGCCUUGUGUGUGGGGGGGGGAGGAGGAUAGGGAUAGGGCGAAAGACUGGAGGAGUGAGGAAACCCUGGACAGUUGGGAGGUUUCUUGUGGGAGGUUGAAGUCUCCCAGUAGAAUAGCAGGAGUGCCAUCCUCAAGGAGGGAGCUCAGGAGAGUGUCCAGCUCGUCCAGAAAUGAGCCGAGUGGACCUGGAGGGCGGUACAGAACAAUAUUAUGAAAUUUUGAGGGAUGAGUUACAGUAAUCGCAUGAAAUUCAAAGGAGGAGAAAGUAGGGUUUGUGUGAGCCAGAUCUGGUAUUUUAGCCAGGACACCAGGGAACCCCCUACUCUUUGCAAAUAGUAUCAUGGGAUCUUUAAUGACCACAGUGAGUCAGGACCUCGGUUUAACAUCUCAUCCAAAAGAUAGCAUCUCCUACAGCACAGUGUCCCCGUCACUGCACUGGGGCAUUGGGGUUUAUUCGACCAGAGGGAAAAUUGCCCCCUGCUGGCCCACCAACACCACUUCCAGCAGCAACUCAGUAUUCCCUGGUGGUCUCCCAUCCAAGUACUAACCAAGCCCACACCUGUUUAGCUUCAGCCAGUUGGCAGGAGCAGAGUGCGUGGUGGUAUGGCUGCUGUGAAAAUUAUCAGUAUUCGUUUCAAGUUUAUGUCCUUCCUGCUCAAGCAUUUUUUCCCUCCUCAGCUAUCCCUCUCUGCCCACAUUACCAGUACUAUGUACUCUCUGGAAAAACCUGCCUAAUAGAUCUGCCUUCUCCCUUUGCUUACACCUUCUUUAUUUCCUUCUACCAUAACAGGAAUAGGCAGACCCCUGUUAAGCCCAGCCAUUCGAUGAAUCAUACCCCAAACUUGCUUAACAGUGGUUUCUGUACCUAUAGUGCCACAAAACCUGUGCCAGCUCUCUUUCUUAGCCCCUUUUAUAACCCUCCUAGCCUCUGCUCACAGCCUCUUAUAUUCAAUAGCAUGGCUCUCAACUGGACUCUUUCUAAGCUGCCUAUACGCUCUGUUACGAGCCUGCACUGCCUCAUCACAAGCCUUAUUCCACCACGGCACUAUUUUCCUCUUUUUCCUGUUCCCCUUGACUUGAAUUGAUUUUUCAGCUGCUCUUCUCACUACAGUACAGAAGGACUUACUCCAUUCUUCUACACUACCCUCACUCAUACCAUCUCCCAAAUCUGCCGAUAGUUGUUCUCUAAAUUUACCCCCGUUCGCUUUUUGAAAGUUAAAUCCUCUCACAGUGCUUUCCUUCUCCACCUGCAAAAUUCUACCAAACCGACUUAAAAUGAGAAAAUGAUCACUCCCCAUGGUGUAACGCUCCAAAAGAUCCCAAUCCCUACACCUAACUAACUCAGCCGAUGCAAAAGUUAAAUCUAUACACGACAGACUCCCAUU
This is a long non-coding RNA of Anguilla rostrata (American eel), 5464 nucleotides long. RefSeq lists it as uncharacterized. The record is from RefSeq and is a predicted model, not a curated record. NCBI's taxonomy places the organism in Eukaryota, Metazoa, Chordata, Actinopteri, Anguilliformes, Anguillidae. The transcript is spliced from 4 exons.